UGAUUGUUUGCUUGGCUYUUUAGCCUUGCAGGUGGUUGUUUCCCAGUGUGGCUUCGGGGAUGUCUAUYGUAAAGGUGCAUGAGUAGUGUUUGGUUUGAUACGGGUGGUUGGCUCCCUGCUUGAGCAGGCACGUCCACGCGUACAUUCCUCUUCAGUUGUGCGGCAAGGCUUGUAUUGUCUUGAUCGUAUAUGUGGGUUUCCUGUGUUGCAUACCUGAUCAACGGCAUCAUCUUGAUCAAAAAUGUAUCUUUUUCGUCAGGCUUUGCACCCGCAAUGUUGGAUGAACCAUGGAGCAUCCUCUUUGAUCCAUAUAGUCGAUGAGCAUUUGUUGAUUGUUUGGCCCAUUGAGGGUGGCUUGGUCUCUUGGAUAUGGAAGCCAAAGUGGGCAUGGGUUCUUAUGAUCCUUUUAUUGCCCUCGUUGAGCGUUCUCGCUUCUCUUACACGACCGCCUUUCACGUAUGGCACGUCCCAGCGUGUUUGGCUAC
Molecule: unclassified non-coding RNA, 485 nt
Filed under: Lagenophora stipitata
Lineage: Eukaryota; Viridiplantae; Streptophyta; Magnoliopsida; Asterales; Asteraceae
Description: partial contains external transcribed spacer and 18S ribosomal RNA
Source: RNAcentral